UACAGAGGGGGCAAGCGUUGUUCGGAAUUACUGGGCGUAAAGGGCGCGUAGGCGGCCUGUUAAGUCGAACGUGAAAUCCCCGGGCUCAACCCGGGAACUGCGUCCGAUACUGGCAGGCUUGAAUCCGGGAGAGGGAUGCGGAAUUCCAGGUGUAGCGGUGAAAUGCGUAGAUAUCGUAAGGAAGACCAGUGGCGAAGGCGGAUCUCUGGACAGUUACUGACACUGAGGCA
RNAcentral lists this ribosomal RNA (230 nucleotides) under uncultured bacterium. Its description in RNAcentral is "partial 16S ribosomal RNA". It matches the Rfam family "Bacterial small subunit ribosomal RNA", at positions 524 to 753 of the family's 1533-position model. The record is from RNAcentral.